This 292-nucleotide ribosomal RNA is filed under the name uncultured bacterium. Its description in RNAcentral is "partial 16S ribosomal RNA". It matches the Rfam family "Bacterial small subunit ribosomal RNA", at positions 505 to 796 of the family's 1533-position model. The record is from RNAcentral.
GUGUCAGCAGCCGCGGUAAGACGAAGGGGGCUAGCGUUGUUCGGAAUUACUGGGCGUAAAGGGCGCGUAGGCGGUCUUGUCAGUCAGGCGUGAAAGCCCUGGGCUCAACCUGGGAGGUGCGCUUGAUACUGCAAGGCUUGAGUGCAGGAGAGGAUGGUGGAAUUCCCAGUGUAGAGGUGAAAUUCGUAGAUAUUGGGAAGAACACCGGUGGCGAAGGCGGCCAUCUGGACUGCAACUGACGCUGAGGCGCGAAAGCGUGGGGAGCAAACAGGAUUAGAAACCCUGGUAGUCC